UUCGUUAACUGCUGAGCCAUGGCAGGACCUUCACUAUUUUUUUGUUGUUGUUUUUGUCUAUGUUUGCCCAAUUCUUUAAAAAUUUGCCUAUCAUCUACUUGGCUUAUUCAAAAUUCAGCCGUGAGAAGAAAACGAUAUGUAAACUCUAGUGUCCCAAGCUCAACACAUAGAUACCCCGAGGUGUACAUUAUCCUCACAUUAUGGAUGAAAAAAUGGAGGUUUGAGUCCUUAAGUAACUCACUUUCAUUGCCUCGUUAACAGCAGAUUAGGAAUUAAGCCCAAAUCUGUUCAAUCCCAAAGUUUAUGCAUCCAUCCACGGAAUCUCAGGGGUGCUGCCCAGCGCUGGGUGAUUUCACAGAAUCAAAGUCUGUUCUCCCGACUUUGUCACUGUAGCCAGGGUUGAUAGGAGGGUAGGAAGCAAAACCUCAGCCAUUCCAAACCUUGCUCAGUCAUGUGACAGUAACAGUCUCCCUUCUUUAAUCCAUCCAUACAGAGAACUCUGUGUGUCAGGAAUCCCUCUGCAUGGAAAGCUAGCCAUCAUGUCACAGCUGAGUAAUCCCAGGACUCUGACCACUCGGAACCGGCCACUCCUCUUUCAGGUCUAAUCUCUUACUCCAAAAGGCCCAUUGCUGCCCUGGUGAGCCCAGAGGUGGGGCCAGAGAUGCCCCUGGCCUGCAACCCAGCAUUCACUCCCUAUUCCCCGCCUUCCCGGCCAGGUCACCUGACGGGCAGCUGGCUGGCUGGGGAGCCCAGGAGAAGCAGACUCUGGUCCCUGCAAGCUCACUGCUUGCUUGUUCCUCCCUCCGGUUACCCCUGCCUAGAGCUCAGGAAGCAGUUUCACCCAGAAGCCCCCUCCUUGCCAUCUUGCCCCACCCCUGCUCUAGCUCCGGCCACUUCCUGCUGGGCACCUGCCAGCCUGGCCACCCACCACUUCAAGAAUCUCAAGCAUUUCUGAGAAAUGUCAGAGAAAUGAAAACCUUUGCCCAUUUCAAUGAUUUCUCUUUCUCAAGCAAAAAGAUGAAAAACUACUCUGCUCAUAAAGACUAAAAAAGGAAUCCAGAGGUUUAAUAAUUUAAUUUUCUCCCCAAACUCUGGAGAGAAGCUGAAAGUAUUUGUGUAAACGCUGUUGCACAAUGAGUUAACCCACUUAUCUGGAAAGAAACAGGCACCAGGGUUUGUGCCUCUCUCUUUCAGUCAUUCUCCCCACCCCUUAAUCCAGACAAAAACAAAAGAGGGAGCAAUCAAACUGAGAAGUAGAUUCUGAUAGGACAGACGUAUUUAUUGAACCUCAACAGUUUCAUUGUGUAUAAGCAUUGGGAGGGCAGGGUAAAGACAGCAAGGUCUCUGUCCUACGUGAGUUUAUGCUCAUCAGAAAAUUUACACCCUAUUCCACAUGCCUGUGAGACCCCUCUAUAAGCUUUAUUCUAAUUUCCAUUUACUUAAGCCUUGCAAAUAAAUUCCCUCUAUUUUACCAGCUUCUCUUUCCCCCUCCUUAGAAAUAACAAGUUCAGAACUUUGCAUAAUGUUAGACGUAUCCAUGGCAGUGAUUUAAGAAUAUAAACAUCAUCUGAUGUUGCAGUAGAAAAAAAAAAAAUGUCGAGCAGAAGCUCAUCUGAAUAUUCCUCACCCGUGGGAAGGGAGAAAGUAGUUUGAGUGAGCUAGGGGUUCCUGUCACUGGCUAAAAUAUCAGUUACCAGAUGGCUUUGCAGGAGCAUUUCAUUAGGAAAGCCACCUCCACUUCCCCCAACUCCAUUCAAGACAAAGUCAAUCCCUUACCAUGUACAUGUAUCUCUACAGCCAACCCCCCCAACAGGUGCUCUGCUGGACAAUAGCUGUCAGAGGUUCCAUGUGUGAGUAAUUUCAUCCUCAGUACCUUGCCCUCCAUUAAGUGGCCAAUACAUAUUACAGGAAGGAGGACAUACAUGUAGGAGACAUCUGUUGCUGUAAGCUGUUACCCUGGUUGCACAAAACCAAGGAGGUGUUUUAGAUCUUUUGUGAUCCACUCAACCCGGCAAGGAUAUGGUACAGAGAGUUGUAAAUAUUUUAAAAGAGUAAAGAUUCCUCGGGACUUGAGAUCAGUUGGUAUCCUAAGCUUUCCCCAAGGCCAAGGGCUCAGGUGCUGCCCCUCAGAAACUCCAUCAUCUUCCUAAACAUCUCGGGUGUCGUUUUGACAUUUUAACGAGAAGUUGAUCCCAGCCUGGUAGCUAAAGAGUUUCUACAGAGGCACCAGACUAAUUGUCUGAGUAAGGAAAUGCCCACUGCAGACAGAGCUGUCCUAGAGACGCUUCCCUUCCUGGGGUCACUCCUAGCUCUGGAGACCCUUGCAGAAAGCUUGGAAAUGGGGGGAUGGCUUGUGGGAGAGACAGGCCACAGGUGCAUGUAACGUGGUCAUCAUCACAGCCACCUUCCAACUGUUCCUGGGACUGGACGACUGGGCCCUUUAGCACUGGUCAAAGGAGAGCACUGAUCUCAGAGUCAGGGUAAGUCCACCCAUAAAUCUGCAAAUAGAAGCUGGGAGAAUAAACCCGCCACUUACAAGUUUGGCUGGGCCAGCUGUUUGGGUCAGGGCUGUGAAUGCUGCCCCUGCCUUAGAAAAUCUGUUUUCUGAUCUGAGCUCAGCUCCAAACACCCGUGUGCCUUGGGAAAACCCUCCAGCUUUGCAGAGUAUUUUUGCCUCGUCCCUAAAGAGAGGGUUGGGACCUGACACUCCUGCACACUCUUUCUAUAGCUCACAUCCAAAGCCGGAUCCAAAAGAACCUCCUCACUCCUUCACCUCCCGCCACCGGUAAUCAGCAAAGACAGAAAAUCCCUGAAAAUAUUAACAGAGGAGGUCAAUAUAUUGAGCUGCGUGGCCUUUUCCUAUUCUGAGACUAUUUCAUGUCUUUAUGUUCUUACACUGAGCAAAACCCGGUCUGUGCCAAUCUACAUCAAAUGGCCAGGAAGGCACAGGGAGGAGCGACCCCCACAAAACCCGAGAUCCCGGCCUUUCAAAUGGCAAACUCAUUACGUCCCUGCGUCCUGACAGCCUUCGUGACAGCGCAUCCUGUCAGAGGCCCUUCUGGCGUCUCAAGCCCACACACAGAACUGAGUGUCACAUGGAUCACAGCAGGUCUUGGCAACAGACACUGAAAAUGUCAGAAAGCAAAAGCGGUGCUUGGGGGAUGUCACCGAGGGCUGGGAGCAGGUGUGAGGUUGCAUUAUAAACAAAAGCCACCAAUUGGAGAAAGGUCCUGGCCCUUGCGAUGAGCAAGACGGAGAUGGAAGAGAGGGAGGAAAAGGAGGCGGGGCUGAGACCCUGAGGGAGGCAGCAGGGCGCCUCUCCUGUGCGGCCUUUGCAACACUGGAAAGCUGCCUGGUCCCUGUAAGGACCGUUUUAUACUGCCAACUCUGCUGGGGUUGUACUCAGAGCAGGCGGUAGAAAUUUGAACAAGGGAGGGUAACACCCUGCAGGGAGAGGCCUUGGGCUUCACAACAAAUUGUGGCUUUAGUGGAUUUGGGGGAAACAACAAAAUCUCAGAGCCCCAGUUCCACCCUAUCCAAAAUAAGGGCAGUAACUUGGUCCAGCAAGACAGUUUAAAGAUCUACAAGAAAUGUUGCAAGUGAAAUGCCCGGCACCUAGCCGGCACUCAGCAGACAGGUGCUGGGGGACCAGGGCCCUGCUCAGGGGAGCCCAGGAGUCUCCGCCAGUGAGGUGAGAGAGAUCACGGGCAGGUACCUUUCUCCCUGGAGCAGGUACCGUUCUCCCUGGAGCAACAAGGAACUUCACCAGGCAGAGAGUGAAGGAAAGAUGCCCAAAGAGGACCCAGGAAACAGAAGUCAGGGAGGCAAGUCAACCAUUGUGUCUAUCUAGUUGAGAUGUUUGUGCCUGAGCAGGAUGGGCCACAGCCACAGCUCGGAGGGCCCUGAAGGCUAGUUCAGGACCCAGGCAGGGAGGAACCACAGUCUUGCUCGACCUUGGGGUGACAUGUGCAAGUUCACUCGGCUGGUUUUUUGGGUAUAAAUUUGAAGGUUGUCUUGGCCAGACGAGCUUAGAAGACUCCUGUGCUCAGGAUCCUUGUCAGGCAGAUAUGUUUUAGUUGCUGUAAUUGAUUACAGGGCUCCACUGAGAAUAGUGUCAGAAUUAAGUGGCGGGGGAGAGGGGAUGAGCAAAGAGAGAACAGGUCAUAUCAAAGAAAUGGUCUCCAGCUGCCAUGGGCCAACAGACAGCUGGCCCCACUCAGAUCUGGUCCACUUGUAACACUUUUCAGUAACAUAGCUUUAUCUGCUCAAUUACUUUAAAACAAUUUAUAAACUUCCCUCUAGCUGCCUAAGGAAUUGACUCCAUAGAAAAAAUGCAUAGAGAAAAAAAAAGGCAUAUAUAUGUCUGACUGGCAAUUACUCAUUGAGCACCUGCCUACUGGAGUGGAGAAUUCACACAACUAACCUGCCUCCCUGUGAACCACAGUGAGGCGACGGCUCAUUCACCUGUUCACCUCCCACCCACUGCCUGGAGGCGGCCAGGCACCAGGAGGGAGGGAAGAUGAGAUGCAAGCAGAAAUGUGUGCAGACCAGCAUCUGAUCCUUUGUUUCAUACUACAGACCAGAGCUACCCCCAUAAAAAGACAAUAGGAGGCACAAAUGUCAUUUUUUUUGGCCACAAGUGUCAUUUCAAAUGUUCUAGUACCCACAUUAUUAAAAAGCUAAAAUGAUUGCCAUUUCAUCAUGUGAACCAGCCACAUCUCAGGGGCUCAAGAGCCAUGGGAGGUGAGUGGCCACAGGACCAGACAUAGUACAGAUACUGACUGGUUUCUUUACAUAGAACAAUGAGGCAAAAAUACCAGCAAAUGAGAGGAUGAAAUGGGGAGGGGUGGGCGGGGCUUCCAUGAGAACCAAGGGGCAGUUCUUGGCCCACUGGUUGGGGCAGGGAGGUGUUCCAGAGCGAGAGGCCUGGGGUGGGCAUUUCCAGGCCAGUGGGAUGUUACCAAGGGGAAGGCUGAGGCUCAGGAUGACACACAGGGGGCAGUCACAAUGCAGAGAGCUACCUGGGCAAGUUUGGGGGGCAGCCAGAGAGAUAACCCUAGAGAAGGAGGAACCCUCAGAUGCCCGAGGCCUCCCUCUGACCUCUGGAUUUGAUAGCAUCUUGCUCAAGAGCUAUUAUCCGACAGGCUCUGUCCUCCACCAUCAGGCCACCUCCUUACAGAUGGACUUGCAAUCUUUCUGUCCUGGGUGACCUCUCUCUUCCAGUCUGGUUUCCUCUCUUGGGUAUAAUCUAGGCAUCUUACUGGGCAGCAGAGAUGGGAGUACAGCAUCCUACAGUAAGCAAAGGGGUUAAAGAUGCAAACUGCUGUCAGGGAUUCAGCUCCCCUGAAACUUCAACCUUCCAGGCUAAGCUGGGAUAGAAAGAGGAGCUCUGAGGAGGUCCUGGCCAGGAUCCCAGCCCAGCACCUUGUUCUCUUGGCCUCCCUCGGCUCUCUUGCUUCCUAGAGAUGGCAGAAGCUGUGCUGACCUGGAAAUAUUCCUGCUGGUAACAGUCCCACCAUGAGGCAGCCUGCAGCCCUGUGACCUGAGCCAGCUCUGAAGUAUUGGGCAAAUCCCACAGGCCACCAGACUGCAAGUUCCUUAGCAUUCAUGCCACCAAAGUGGAUAUUUCCUCUUAAGUACUUAAAGAGAGAGAGAGAGGGAUGGAGGGAGAGAGAGGGAGCACACAAGAGAGAGGGGUCAGAUUCAGCUGUCAGCCUAGAAAUGGGAAGUAAAACUGGCAUGGAAAUUAGGCUGCAGCCCAGGCAAGAGGCCCCCCCACCUACCUGGUGCUCAACCCGGGCAGGACAUGAAAGUCAUUUGGGAACAUCUAUAUCAUAUGGAUGCCCAGGUUUUGCCCCAGACCAAAGAAAGCAGAAUCCCAAAGGAAAGAGCCCUGAAAACCACUGUUUUCAUUUGGUUUUGAUUUUUCAAAUGUCUCCUGUGAUUCUCACGAACAGGCAGAGUCGAGGCCUCUGUGCUAGACCAUCCGGCCAGCUCGCAGGAGACUGACUGCUCCAGGGUUCAGGCCAAAGACUCAUGCAAAUGAGAGUGUGUGUUUGCCUGACUCUGCCUCGUAGGCUACUUGUCUUGGGAAUUUGGGGGGAGCAUGGGUGAGAAAAGGUAAGACAAGAAUAGCAUCUGGAUGUUCUCAGCUUGGAGGACUCAGCUAAAUUUCAUCCCUCAACUGGGCCAACACAGGCCGGCCCAUUACAUCUCACUUUGCUUUUGUGGCACUCUUAAAAAGGACAGUGUCACAGAUGUGUGGGGAAUGUAC
Molecule: long non-coding RNA, 6274 nt
Filed under: Sus scrofa (pig)
Lineage: Eukaryota; Metazoa; Chordata; Mammalia; Artiodactyla; Suidae
Description: lncRNA (ENSSSCG00015065437.1)
Source: RNAcentral